RNAcentral lists this ribosomal RNA (478 nucleotides) under uncultured bacterium. RNAcentral's name for it is "partial 16S ribosomal RNA". It matches the Rfam family "Bacterial small subunit ribosomal RNA", at positions 28 to 523 of the family's 1533-position model. The record is from RNAcentral.
GACGAACGCUGGCGGCGUGCUUAACACAUGCAAGUCGAACGGUAAGGCCCUUCGGGGUACACGAGCGGCGAACGGGUGAGUAACACGUGGGUGAUCUGCCCUGCACUUCGGGAUAAGCCUGGGAAACUGGGUCUAAUACCGGAUAGGACCACUGCCUGCAUGGGUGGUGGUGGAAAGCUUUUGCGGUGUGGGAUGGGCCCGCGGCCUAUCAGCUUGUUGGUGGGGUGAUGGCCUACCAAGGCGACGACGGGUAGCCGGCCUGAGAGGGUGACCGGCCACACUGGGACUGAGAUACGGCCCAGACUCCUAAGGGAGGCAGCAGUGGGGAAUAUUGCACAAUGGGCGCAAGCCUGAUGCAGCGACGCCGCGUGAGGGAUGACGGCCUUCGGGUUGUAAACCUCUUUCAGCACCGACGAAGCGCAAGUGACGGUAGGUGCAGAAGAAGGACCGGCCAACUACGUGCCAGCAGCCGCCGUAA